CCUCAGCAAGCUUCAGUUCCCGGCCUCUCAGGACCUGCUGUUUAUCUUGGUCUUCCUUUGCACUGGAGCAGUAUGUGUUUUCCCAGGAGGAGGAAAGAAAGGUUCCAUGUGACUGUUGCAGCCUGUUAUUAUGAGCAAUGGAGGGCUAUAGCUUUAACUAUACUUUCGGACACUUGCCUUUGUCAAUGAGGGCAAAGGCCAAGCAAUGUUAACCCAAAAGUCUGUGACGACAAGGAAAGGCUCUAGCAUGUUUGAAGAAGCUGUGACUUCUCUGUUCUGGGUGGCCUUGGAUUUGGUCAUCUUCAAGUUCAGACAGCCUUGUACAUCCUGCAUAUGGAUGAAGACCCAAAAAGGUUUUUGGAGAUCUGUUUGGAUGGGAUGGAGAAAGCUGUUGCUCUAAUGUUUGAAGCAGACGUCCUCGCCAUGUACAGGCGUGUGCUGUGCACAGACGGGAGCUUGUACAAGCAAGUGACAUUUACCAGCAGGAGCUUGUCUGGACAGGUAAAGGAGGGGCUGUGCAUGAUUACAGGAUUUUCACAAGAUUUCAUGGCUGGCAAGUGAUGGAGUCACGAAGGGAACUAGACCCAUCAGUGAGGAAGCCAGUGCAGGUACAGAGAUGUCUCACAGGGCCCCGGGCCUGUGCUGAAGGAACCCUGAUGACCGAAACACUCAAGCCCCAGUGUUCAAGGACCUGCCGGCUGCCCAGCCAAUCCCCCUCCCCUUCCAUUUUUCCUACAGGGAAUGGCCGCUACUGGUGAAGAUAAUUGCUCAACUGUUUGCACUGAGAGUUAUGGAGGGUCAAAUCUCCACCCUCUGUGUUCUUUGGCACAAACUACAUGGAAGUGACAGAAAAUUCUGUAUCACCUAAGAACAAAACAGGAAUGCUUGGGAGGCAGCAGCCUCCUGCACAAAAUUUUCACCCACUGCUAGCAUUUAGCUAUCUAAAUUUUCUACCAUUAGACAUCUAUUCCUUUGGAUUAAAGUAGAUUUCUCCUCUUGCCUAGGACUUGCCCGGACUAUUGUAUAAAAUCUUCUUUUGUCAUACAUCCAAAUAACUACCCUCACAGCUCCUAACAACCACCUCAGUAUUGAGGUCUCACAGAAAUAGUCCAAGAAACCCAGUAACAUAAGGAAUGGCUAUACUUCAAGCUGUUAAAUACUUCAAUUUUGAGGAUUAAACUGUU
Suricata suricatta (meerkat) is the source of this 1184-nucleotide long non-coding RNA. RefSeq lists it as uncharacterized. The record is from RefSeq and is a predicted model, not a curated record. NCBI's taxonomy places the organism in Eukaryota, Metazoa, Chordata, Mammalia, Carnivora, Herpestidae. The transcript is spliced from 5 exons.